CCAUCUUCAACCACCACUUAUCAAAUGCCCAAAUGGAGCCUGGUUCUUCUUCCAGAAGUUUAUGCCCAUUUUAGAGGUUUGAGAACCAGGAAACCAAUGGUGUAAUUCAGCCUGAGUUCAAAGUCCUAAUAAUCAGGGUCUGAUAGUGUGAGUUCCAGUCUGACUCCAAAAGAUGGAGGACCAGGAGAAGAUGGAUGUCCUAACUCGAGACGCAAACAUGCCCUUCCUCUGCCUUGUUGUUCUAUCUGGUCCCUCUACAGAUCGGAUGAGGUGCACCUACAUUGAAGAGCAUCAUUUACUCAAUCUACUUUUCAAAUGCUAAUCUCUCCCAGAAACACUCACGGACACAUCCAGAAAUAAUGCUUUACCAGCUCUCAGGGCAACCCUUGACUCAGUCAGAUUGACACAUAAAAUUAAACAUCACACCUGAUAUGAUAUGAUGAGAAAGA
This is a long non-coding RNA of Suricata suricatta (meerkat), 449 nucleotides long. RefSeq lists it as uncharacterized. The transcript is spliced from 2 exons. Lineage: Eukaryota; Metazoa; Chordata; Mammalia; Carnivora; Herpestidae. The record is from RefSeq and is a predicted model, not a curated record.